AAUGCACAGAGCUGGAAAGGGCCCAAGACCACCGAUUCAUUCUGUGAAGACCAGCGGGCUGCCAGCAGCCUUAAACAACUGUUGAUCACCAACACCAACAAAUUCCAAACAGAUUACCAAAAAAGGACAAGGCCAAAACCCAUUUCUGGGCUAUAAAAACAGAUUCCUCCAACGGCUGUUACGUGCUUUUUCCCAAAUCCCUUCUACAAAGAGGCCUGCACUCAGACACCCUGAUACAAAGGUGAGGAGCUCCCCUUGCCAUGCUAACAACUAUCUGGAGCACAGAGGCGGGUUUGUCUCACUUCAGCUGGUUGCACACACACAAGGUCUGAAGUACUGCAGAAGGAAUCUUGUGUGAUUUUUCAGGGAUUAAGAGACAAUGCAGAAAACAGCACAUCAAGAUCCUUCCAUGACCCAGGUUUUCCUCUCCCACAUCCCACGCAACAAAUGCUCCAAUGCCCUCAAUUUGGUGUCUGUGUCACCAGAGGGCUCCCAUCCUGGUAUCAAAGUGGGUCUGUGU
This 520-nucleotide long non-coding RNA is filed under the name Gallus gallus (chicken). RNAcentral describes it as "long non-coding RNA NONGGAT007840". The record is from RNAcentral. Lineage: Eukaryota; Metazoa; Chordata; Aves; Galliformes; Phasianidae.